CAGCCGCCGCGGUAAUACGAAGGGUGCAAGCGUUACUCGGAAUUACUGGGCGUAAAGCGUGCGUAGGUGGUGGUUUAAGUCCGUUGUGAAAGCCCUGGGCUCAACCUGGGAAUUGCAGUGGAUACUGGGUCACUAGAGUGUGGUAGAGGAUAGUGGAAUUUCCGGUGUAGCAGUGAAAUGCGUAGAGAUCGGAAGGAACAUCUGUGGCGAAGGCGACUAUCUGGGCCAACACUGACACUGAGGCACGAAAGCGUGUGGAGCAAACAGGAUUAGAUACCCCUGUAGUCCCUGUCUCUUAUAC
This 301-nucleotide ribosomal RNA is filed under the name uncultured bacterium. Its description in RNAcentral is "partial 16S ribosomal RNA". It matches the Rfam family "Bacterial small subunit ribosomal RNA", at positions 509 to 807 of the family's 1533-position model. The record is from RNAcentral.